GGGAGGAUCACUUGAGCCCAGGAGUUGGAGACCAGCUUGGGCAACAUAGCGAGACCUCAUCUCUACAAAAAAUAAAAGAAAAUAUUAGCUGAGUGUGGUGGCAUGCAAUUGUUGUCCCAGCUACUUGGGAGGCUGAAGUGGGAGAAUCGCUUAAGCCAGAAAGGUGGAGGCUGCAGUGAGCCGUGAUUAUGCCACUGCAUUCCAGGCUAGGUGGCAAAGUGAGAUCCUGUCUCAAAAAAAAGAAAAGAAAAGAAAAAAGAAAGAAGGAAGGAAAGAAGGAAGGAAGGAAGGAAAAGGAAGAAAGGAAGGAAGGAAAAAGAAAGAAAAAGGAAGGAAGGAAGGAAGGAAAGAAGAAAGGAAGAGCUCCAGUUUUGCAUGUCUGCAAAUCAAGCAAGGCACUGCUGAGUACAGGUUAGGUGUGGAGCAGAUAGCAAACGCCUGAUGAAUGAGGGUCUGGUCAGACUUCUAAAGAUGGCCCCUCAAAAGUUUUCCCAAGCUGGUGACAGAAGAGAAAUGCGAAGAGAGAUUUGAAGCAUGAGGGGAAUUUGCCGCACCAUUGCUGACUUGAACUUGGAGGGAUCACAGGAGAAGGACUGUGGGUGACUGCAAGGAGCCAGGAGAGGCUAACAGCCUCAAGAAAACAGGAACCUCAAUCCUGGAAACUCGGGAAAUUGAAUCCUUUCCCCAACAUGAAUGAGCCUGGAAGAUUUCUCUUCAGUUCCCAGAUGAGAACACAGCCAAGGUUCAGCCUUGGAAACCUUGAGCAGAGAACCCAGCCAUGUGUGUAGGACCUCUGAGCUUCAGAACUGCUGGCUUAUGACUUCGGUGGCAGGACACUUUGUGACUUCUGAGGCUGGGUCAUAGAAGGCAAUACAGCCUCCAUCUCUGAUGACAUUGGAACCCAGCCACCAUGCUGUGAGGAAGCCCAAGCGUCCUGUGGAGAGAUUAUGUGGGAGAGAACCAAGGCCCCCAGGCCACAGCAUUGGCUGAGCUCCCAGCCAACAGCCAGCAUCAAUUUGUGGAUAUUCUUGGAAGCAGAUAUUCCAGUCUCAAGAUGAGUUGUCCCAGCUGAUACCACAUUGAGCAGAGAUGAGCUGUUCCUGAUUGUCUAACUGUAAGCAAAAUAAAUGAUUUUCAUUAUUUUAAGCCAUUUAAGUUUUAGAGUGGUUUGUUAUGCUGCAAUAGAUAGAGAUAAUUCAUUAAUU
This 1205-nucleotide long non-coding RNA is filed under the name Homo sapiens (human). RNAcentral describes it as "HSALNT0053183". Lineage: Eukaryota; Metazoa; Chordata; Mammalia; Primates; Hominidae. The record is from RNAcentral.